This 476-nucleotide ribosomal RNA is filed under the name Veillonella parvula. RNAcentral's name for it is "bacterial SSU rRNA". It matches the Rfam family "Bacterial small subunit ribosomal RNA", at positions 28 to 473 of the family's 1533-position model. The record is from RNAcentral. Lineage: Bacteria; Bacillati; Bacillota; Negativicutes; Veillonellales; Veillonellaceae.
GACGAACGCUGGCGGCGUGCUUAACACAUGCAAGUCGAACGAAGAGCGACGGAAGCUUGCUUCUAUCAAUCUUAGUGGCGAACGGGUGAGUAACGCGUAAUCAACCUGCCCUUCAGAGGGGGACAACAGUUGGAAACGACUGCUAAUACCGCAUACGAUCUAAUCUCGGCAUCGAGGAUGGAUGAAAGGUGGCCUCUACAUGUAAGCUAUCACUGAAGGAGGGGAUUGCGUCUGAUUAGCUAGUUGGAGGGGUAACGGCCCACCAAGGCGAUGAUCAGUAGCCGGUCUGAGAGGAUGAACGGCCACAUUGGGACUGAGACACGGCCCAGACUCCUACGGGAGGCAGCAGUGGGGAAUCUUCCGCAAUGGACGAAAGUCUGACGGAGCAACGCCGCGUGAGUGAUGACGGCCUUCGGGUUGUAAAGCUCUGUUAAUCGGGACGAAAGGCCUUCUUGCGAAUAGUGAGAAGGAUGGAC